AGCGGAGCGCGGAGCUCUGCCCUGGGCGCGGUGCCGGCCGUGCGGGGCCUUCGGGGCGCUGCGGGGAAGGGGCUGUCUGGAAAGAAUGUACUGACAUAAAUCUCCGCAGCGUGAGAUAAAGCAUCGGGCGUGUUUUAGUGCUUCGUAGGAAGAUAAUUUCCUUGCGGUUUCUCGCAAGAGGUGUCAGGGGCAUCGCUUGCUGGACGGGAUUCCAGAAGGCAGUGUGGCUGUAUAGGGGCUCGGCUUUGUUUUCUGCCCCGCCGACGUAAGUGAUGCGCCCCAAUCCGUCGGCAGCCGUGGUUGGUGUGCGCCGGGUGUCCCCUGGGCGUGAGGAGCGGUCCUUCAACUGCCGGCUCUGGGCCGGGCUUCCGAGCGUGCGCCUUUGUUUGGUUUGGUUUCUUCAGGUGGUUAAAAAAGGGGGGGAAACGCUGUUCCUUUUCGGCGUUCCCAGCACAGUAUUUCAAGCUCCUCUUUGCCGAGAGGAUUCAGCGGAGUGGGUUUUGCUGGAGUUGCGAUAGAUUGGGUUAUUUGCAGAAGGGAUUCCUCAGAGGCCUUGUCUCCAUUAAGCAAUUACAUUAUUGUUUUUACCCAGCAGUACAGCUCCUGUGCGAGCGCCGGCAGCUCUGGUUUUACAGUGAAGGUCAGUUAUACUUCUGCCCUACAUCCGUAACUGUGCCGUGUCAGAGCUCCGAGGACGCAGGGGAUGCUGUUCCUCGGGUCCCGAACCCUGGGAGAUGUUCAAAGGCCUUUUGAGAGCCCUGGGAGAAUUGGGGGUGGUGGGGAGGGCACUUCAAGUCCUUGCAACGUCAUAAUCCUAAAUGUAGCCUUUAUUUCUUUUUUGCAGGAACAAAAAGCCCUGAUUCUUUAUACCAAAGGAAAGAAAAUGCACCGAAUGGCUUUUUUCUUUUUUUUUUUUUUUUUCCAUAUUCAGGUAGCUUUGGGUGUUCUGGCAAUGCCCAUGAAGAUCAAGGAGCAGAAUAAAAUCUGUGAUGUGACAGCAGCCCAGGUGGAGAUCUGCAUGCUCCCUUGGCAGAUGAUGUUUGUAGAGAAGUGCGUGGAAGUGGAUGCUUGGCUGUGUCCUGGUAUUGGUGACACAGGAUAAGCUACAUUGGCUGCAUUACUUCAAGAUUAGGAAGGAGACCUUUGGGUAUAGGCUGUGCGUAGAGAACCAUUUUGCUAUUACUCACUACGCAGGUAAAAUUGUUUUUCCUGGGGAAAAGAGGUGGUUGCACUGGGAAAACUGGCUGCUUGGAGUAGUACAAUUAGCAGCGCUGGUGUGCCUGGGUUUUCAAAUGCUGAGAAGCACCAGGAAUAAACUUAUCACUGUGCUGUACCCACGUGAUGUGUAUAAUCAGCUGUGAAUUAUUUAUUUCUGUUUUAACUGCAGCUAGUCAGCAUUUCUAGACCAUAGCGAGACGCUGGUCUGGGUAGGCACAAAUCCCUCAGACUGAGCAGAAGCGGAGCACACGGAUGGCAUUUCAGUGUCAGUUCCCAGAUAUCGUGCAGCACUACAAAAUAUUCCAGCAGUGGCAGGAGCACUGGAAAUGCUACUUAAUGAUCACACAGCAGGAGCAGCCCCUCUGCUGAUAAACGCUUCUCUGGGCUGGACAGUGUGGAAACAGCGUUAAAAGAAACCAGGCCCACUUGUCCUGCCAAACAGGUUGUUGCCAUGCACAGUCGAACUGCAGCAGCUUUAGUGCAACAACAGGGUUUAGGAGAAAAAUCAUAGCGUAGCCAUGAAAUGAGCUGUCGGAGAGAACCAGCAGGACAGUAUGUGUAUGGAGAUUGUACUGCUGGUGACAAAGCGUAAGCCCUGGCCUUGGAAAAAAUUAGUGUGCAGAGAGCUGCAGCAUAACAUUACAGUGUGCCAACUAGUUUACUGUGGGAAAUGUGUGCUGCUUCACUUUUAAUCUCUAUUCUUUUCAUAGGGGUAUUGGAAAAGGAAGUAAAACAGCUGCUGUAAAGCCUAGCAAGUGACGUGAUUCUUGUGAAUAGUUGUGAAAAAAAAAUGUAGAGCUAUUUAUGAAUGGAAAGCAUUAUACAAGUAAAAUGUAAACAGUUGGUAUGUUUGAGCUACCUUCGAGGCAUCUUCAGUUUCAAAGUAUUGCAUAAAGUUACUUGAAACCAUUAGGUGAAAUUUGUCUCCUCUAUUCUUUCUGAGAUUUCUGCAUAGUGAGAAGACAAAAUCAAAGUCCUCUUUGAGGAGUUUGCAGUCCAGCUCAGCUUUCUUAUAGGUAGUCCCACCGAAUGUGAUCUAACUCUAUAAACCAUCACAUAUUCAAUAAGAAAUAGUAGUGUGGGAGAAGCAAGAGAACAGAAGACAGAAACUGCUCUAUUUGUGAGUGAUAAGGAGAAGUGAUUUGUUAUUCCUUUCCUUACUGAACAGUGUAAAUGCUCUGUUCUCUUCUAAGGCGCUUAAGACACCUAAGCUACCGUAAGCCAUUACUGUGGUUAUUAGUUCAGCCCUCAAAGAGUAAUAUGUAUUUCACAGAACAAAUAAGAUAAAUGCCCUUUUACCAUAGAGCUUGCAAACUAUGUUUUGUCACAGGUGAGAGCAACAACUAGAAAAGAGGUCUAUACGGAAGAAAUGCAGAAAUAUGGGUAGGCUUCUGCAGUCCUCUCCGUUCUCUGAGACACCAGGAAGCACGGUGCCUGUGUGGUUACCUGCUGCGAGGGGAUCACGGCUGUGCAAUUUUGCUCUUUAAUCAUAUUGAUGCAUAUCUAUCCCUGGGGGAGCUGGUGGUUGUAAGUAACAGGAGUGUGCAGGAUCUCUGUAUUUCUGCUCGUGGGCCAUUGCAAUCUGUGCAAUGGAUGCCCAAGGUUCUGUUGCGUAGGGAAGGUUUGUGUGAAGGUAGGGUCGUGCUCUGCUGGCUGCCAGCCAGCUGCCCAUAUGGUUGCCAGAAUGCAGCAUUAAUUUUCUGAGGCAGCGUGUGUCCGAAAUACAGUGCCACACCAUAUAAAUCAGCACGCUAUUGGAAGUUAUAAAUUCACAGAUAAGAUGGAAUUGUUAAAGUAACCCUUACUGUGGCUUCUUGAGUGUACACAUGUUUUUAGAGCAGAAGCAUCAGAGCUGGAAUUCUGCAUAGCGUAAUGCAAAAGCUUACAGGAGAGCAGCAGGAACACUGCAAACCUGGGUCAUCAAACUGCAGUCCUUACGUGGAUGGCACACCCACUGAGGGGAAGGAAGGAAAGCACUACACAGUAUAAAUGGCAGCUAAUCACUUAUCUUGGUAAAUUUACCCUUUGUUUUAUAUGUGGAAGAAUAACAAAAAACUGCCAAAACAAUUCCUUGAAGAGGAGGAUGCUUAAUUUUUAUUACAAACAAGACUUUUCCAAGUAAUUUGGUGGUGAACACUGAUUCACUUAAGACUUAGGUUCAUAGCGCUUGUGUUCAGGCCUACCUGUGCACGUAGGUUCAGAGCGCAGACUAGAUUCAGACCUGUCUUUAUUGAAGCACGUUCUUUGAUCCAUGUUCAACAAGAUGGACAGGAGUUUGACUGCCUUGGAGCAUGUGAAUAUUCACAUUGAUUUCAGCAAGAUGUCUGUCUGUCUUCAGCUGAACCAGUCUUGGAAAUGAGAAGCACAUGCGAGUCUCUCACAUACACAGGAUCAUGCCCCAGUGAGAUGUUUGCAAUCAGUGUUGUCCAGUACUGGAAUCCUCCUGGUACCUUCAGAUUGAUACUGAAAGCUUUCCCAGAAAAUGCUUUUUACCCAGGGAGUGAUGUUCUCAACACAGAAGUGAUUAGGACAAAUUUAGUGGCUGGUAUACACAUUAGAUUAGGAGAUGAUCUCUCCUGACCUUGUCUCAUACAAUUUGAAAUGCAAUCAGUUUAACAUUUGGAGGAGAUGUAGAUACAACAAAAGCUUUCUACUAGGUUUUUUGUUGUUGUUGCUUUUGUGGGUUUUUUUGGUUUUCUUUGUUUUAAUAAGAGAUCUCUAUUUUGAAGUAUUUUCAACCGAACUGCUGUGUCCUGAGAAAGGGCAGGAAACUGUCUGACCAUAAGAGGGGAAAGAAAGAAAAAAGUCAAUGUAAAGUUGUCAAGUGUAAAUUAACCGUGUAAAUAGACCCUAUUUCCAGAAACUAAGCUCCCCUCCCUGUGAUAUACAGCAUUAUUUAAUAAAUGGUAAAGGCGCUUAGAUAGAAGUUGCACAUUUCUUUUAAAUUGAGGAUAGCUCUCCAAUCAAUAGCCCGAACAAGGCUAUUAGUUACAACAAUGUAUAAUCGUUUCAAGACUCUUUCAGCAAGAUAUAGUGGGUGUUUGGUCUUGUAAUUAACCCACCACCAUUGGCCACGCAUUCUCUCCACCCUGUAAUUACUCAACUUAAAAAACACCACCAUUCACAGCAUACAUUGUAUAGAACAUUAUAAUUGUAAUGUUUUUACACUCACACAGUGUUUAUAACUCACCCAUACAUUUCAGGAGCAGAAGCCAUUUGUCCAGAUCUAAGCAUUUUUUGGAUCAGAAAGGUUAAUUUGGAAACAACUUGAGUUAGCAUGCACAGAGUCAUUGGCUUCUUGUAUUUAUUUAACUUUUUUUGGAACUAAUCUAGAAGUACUGAAUGGAUUUUCACUUAAAAAUGCCUUGCCACUGAGCUAAGAAUGUAAUGGAUAAUGAAUCAUUUGCUCCAACAAAUUGCUGUUCUUUCUGAUUGUAGAACAUGCGUAAGUCCUGUACGUAGAGAAAUUCAGCCUCAAAAGAAAAUGCUUCAGGAAACUUAUAAGUGAAAACUUUGGUGUAAGCCUGUGAAAAGAAAAUGCCUGCUCAGCAAAAGCAAACAAACAAACAAAAAUCACCCAACAAUCUUCUCUCAGCAAGUUUUCCUUUGUAAUGCUUUCUCAUUCUCGAGGUCUUUGGCCAGAACAAGCAUGGAAUAGAAGCAGACUUGUGCAUAAGAGUAAAAAGCAACAGAAAGCAUCUGGAAAGCCUACUGUAGAAACCUGCCGUGAGAUUUCUUUUAACUAACCUGAAUUGUUUGAAAAUCAAAAAAUGAGUGUUAGUGUAGACCCUCUCCGAGGGUAGUGGAGAAUAGUAGACAUUUCCAGAAGGAUUCAGAUCUCUGCCUUGUGACAGGGUUAAUCAGCUUAUUAUUCAUGUCCUUAUGCUACCUUUUAGAUCACAGAAUCAGAGAAUGGUCUGGGUUGGAAUGGACUUUAAGAUCACCCGUUUCCAACCCCCUUGCUACAGGCAGGGACACCUCCCACUAGACCAGGUUGCUCAAAGCCCCAUCCAGCCUGGCCUUGAAUGCUUCCAGGGAGGGGGCAUCCAC
This 5268-nucleotide long non-coding RNA is filed under the name Gallus gallus (chicken). Its description in RNAcentral is "lncRNA (ENSGALG00010006672.1)". The record is from RNAcentral. Lineage: Eukaryota; Metazoa; Chordata; Aves; Galliformes; Phasianidae.